RNAcentral lists this transfer RNA (74 nucleotides) under Auritidibacter ignavus. RNAcentral's name for it is "tRNA-Gly". It matches the Rfam family "tRNA". From Rfam's summary of the family: Transfer RNA (tRNA) molecules are approximately 80 nucleotides in length. Their secondary structure includes four short double-helical elements and three loops (D, anti-codon, and T loops). The record is from RNAcentral. Lineage: Bacteria; Bacillati; Actinomycetota; Actinomycetes; Micrococcales; Micrococcaceae. RNAcentral also lists the same sequence under 4 other names.
GCGGAUGUAGCUCAGCUGGCUAGAGCACCACCUUGCCAAGGUGGGGGUCGCGAGUUCGAAUCUCGUCAUCCGCU